This 161-nucleotide unclassified non-coding RNA is filed under the name uncultured Eurotiomycetes. RNAcentral describes it as "sequence contains ITS1". Lineage: Eukaryota; Fungi; Ascomycota; Eurotiomycetes. The record is from RNAcentral.
CCGAGUUUACUAAACUCCCAACCCUUUGUGAACUUAUAAUUGUUGCUUCGGCGCCGCGCCCCGCGCCCCCUAGGGGGACGGACCCAGGCGCGCGCCGAGGACCCCAAACUCUUGGUUUUAUUUACGAAGUCUGAGUGGCCUUUUGGCAAACAAAUGAAUCA